GUAUUGGACUACCAUGGCAGUCACGGGUAACGGAGAAUUAGGGUUCGAUUCCGGAGAGGGAGCCUGAGAAACGGCUACCACAUCUACGGAAGGCAGCAGGCGCGCAAAUUGCCCAAUCCUGACACGGGGAGGCAGUGACAAGAAAUAACAACUCUAGGAUUUCUUAGAAGUGUAAUGAGGAUAAUUUACAAACCUUACCGAAUGCAAUUGGAGGGCAAGUCUGGUGCCAGCAGCCGCGGUAAUUCCAGCUCCAAUAGCGUAUAUUAAAGUUGUUGCAGUUAAAAAGCUCGUAGUUGAAGUUCUGAUUGCUCAGGUUUCCAGCCUUAGGCGGAGAUACUGACAGUCAUCCGCUUGCAAACAUAUGUUCGAUCUUCACCGGUUGGCUAUGUGAGUAAGCACUUUACCUUGAGAAAAACAGAGUGUUCCAGGCAGGUUUGUCCGGGAUGCAUUAGCAUGGAAUAAUAGAACAUGACUGAAGUCG
RNAcentral lists this ribosomal RNA (481 nucleotides) under uncultured eukaryote. RNAcentral's name for it is "SSU rRNA". It matches the Rfam family "Eukaryotic small subunit ribosomal RNA", at positions 333 to 836 of the family's 1831-position model. The record is from RNAcentral.